UACGAAGGGGGCUAGCGUUGUUCGGAAUCACUGGGCGUAAAGCGCACGUAGGCGGUUGCUUAUGUCGGAUGUGAAAGCCCUCGGCUUAACUGAGGAAGUGCAUCCGAAACUGGGCAGCUAGAGUACGAAAGAGGGUCGCGGAAUUCCCGGUGUAGAGGUGAAAUUCGUAGAUAUCGGGAGGAACACCGGUGGCGAAGGCGGCGACCUGGGUCGAGACUGACGCUGAGGCGCGAAAGCGUGGGGAGCAAACAGG
RNAcentral lists this ribosomal RNA (253 nucleotides) under uncultured bacterium. Its description in RNAcentral is "partial 16S ribosomal RNA". It matches the Rfam family "Bacterial small subunit ribosomal RNA", at positions 524 to 776 of the family's 1533-position model. The record is from RNAcentral.